This 414-nucleotide unclassified non-coding RNA is filed under the name Hevea brasiliensis (rubber tree). The record is from RNAcentral. Lineage: Eukaryota; Viridiplantae; Streptophyta; Magnoliopsida; Malpighiales; Euphorbiaceae.
CGAAAACGGGGAAGAAAACCAGCGAAUGGAAGAGAAGAGCCCUUGAAUCAUGUUGAAGCAGAGAGGCAGAGAAGAGAGAAACUUAACCAGAGGUUCUAUGCCCUGCGAGCUGUAGUUCCCAAUGUGUCAAAGAUGGACAAAGCUUCGCUUCUUGGAGAUGCCAUAGCUUACAUUAAGGAGCUCCAAGCAAAGCUGCAAACUGCAGAGUCUGAUAAGGAGGAGAUGGAGAAGCAAGUGGAAUCAAUGAAGGAGGAGUUUGCUAGCAAAGAUUCACGCCCAGGACCACCUCCUCCUGAUCAAGAACUCAAGAUGUCAAAUAAGCAUGGAAGCAAAGCAAUGGAAAUGGAUAUCGAUGUGAAGAUAAUUGGGUGCGAUGCAAUGAUACGAAUCCAAUGUAGCAAAAAGAAUCACCCA